CCAUCUCUGGCAGAAAGAACAAGGAUAUCAGCACAGGAAACAACUCCAGGGCACUCCCUUUCCACGGCUUCUUUAAUGGUCUCAAUGUACCUAAAGUUCCUCAGCCCAAAGCUCCUAUCAGUUUCCUUCUCAGACAAGCUCCUUCUUGUUGAAUCCAGCAACAGUGAAGCAUCACAUCUCUAACCUCAUCAAAAACAUUCUAGUAAUUAGUUAAAGGGACAGUAUAGCAAAUACUAAAAACUAAUGGAAGUCAAGGUUGGUGUUACCUGAACAGCACAAUCAUGGAAAAUGUUCCUGAGCCAGGAGAAAGCAGUGUUCUUGUGACGCUUGUAAAGAAGCUUCACUUGUUCUGUGAUAACUUCUUCAGCCUGAGGACAUGUUUCCUUGUAAUAGUUCAUAACAAGACCAGGAUUUUGCUCUUCUUCUGCAAAAACAGGACUCAGCAGGGACACUGCUGAAAAGGAUAAUAGAACCAAAAACAUGAAAACUCUUGGACCCAUUUCUCUCUCCUCUCACUACUAACUAUGCUCACUCACCUACUUUACUCCCCUCUCUGCUACUUCUUAAAUAACCAAAUACCGCAGUAUCAAGAUAAAUGUGCUACCAGUCAAAUAUUCAAAAUGCAACUUGGUGUAUAGCGGUAACCAACCCAUUGCAGAAUGUUUAUUUUAGUUAUUAAAACAACGAAAAUUAUGGAAAUUAUCAAAUGAUAAUCAAAAUAUCACAUGUUCAAUUCAUUGUAAGCGAGGAUAACAACAGAAUUCGAAAAAGAUUAGUUAUUUAUCCUAAUAAAAAAUAUGGAAUUAUGGCUUUUAGAAUUUAAAUAGUUGCUGUUAGUGAAGGAAAAUAUAUAGUUACUGAAAUUGUGCAUAAGAAACAAUAACCCAGAAGGUUAUUUAUCAAAAAAUACAGUAACUUAACAAGAACUCAAAAAGUUACACCAAAAAACAUGAUAAAAUAGUUUUUUUGGGUACACUUCUAAUACUUCUUUUGUUCAUACGUAACUAACUUUACAUAGAAAUAAAAUUGGCCAUUUUGGGACCUUUUGUAAAUUUAGAGCUUCCGAGUUUCAGUUAAUGAAAUAUAAGUUUUGGAAUUUUCGAUUUUUAUCAAACGCUCACAGUGAUAGACAACGAAAUUUUACCGAUUAGUUACUUACUGGCCAUUAUAUAAGAAGUUUUGUUAUCCUAAUUUUGGGUUGAAAAAGAUGGGAAGUGGUGGGGUAGAAGCACUUACGGGAAAUGCUGAAAUUUAAUUUAGUUAUGCUCAUUUAUUAUUGAGUGUAACAUCUGGAAAAAAAUGUGAAUACUCAUUUAUUAUUGAGUGUAACAUCUAUACACGUGUCAAAGAUAGUGCAAACUUUUUGACUAAAAAAUGUAUACUAACCAUGUAAAAGUACAUCAUGCACAAUUCAUUUUUAUUGAUGAUUGACUUUUAAAUAUGAAUAUAUUUUUUUUACCUCUCUAUAUUGUUUGGAUGGAUGCCCCACCACUAUAUGUUUGCUUACGUGUUCUGAUAAGAAAGGCCUUCGGGUCUGGAAUGGAGUCGGGCACUUCUUAAGCAUGUGAGGAACAUGGUCUGGGUUGAUAACUGGGUCAACCUCUGGGUAUAAACGGUGCACCAACUUCACACAGUGUGUUCUACCAACACUGUGUGCUCCUGUUCAACACAACAAGAUCAAUAAUUAUGUAAGUUAAAAACUAUAAUUAAGACAUGUAUCAUGUAUGUAUAUGUUAUAAUGUUACACAUGUUAGUAUGUAUAAUGAAUCAUGUCAUGUUGACCCCACAUGUAUUUAUUGAAAGAGAAUAUGAUGGAUAAACUUUGGCAUUUUAAUCAAGGCCAUUCACGUGGGUAUGGGACGUUUUUGAAUUCAUGGCCAUCAUGAUAUUUUUUCAACGUCGACAAUACGGCACAAACAAACAACAUAAUUCAUGUCAACGGUGUUGCAGUGGGAAAGGAUCUCAUCACUGAAUCCAAUGACCAAUUUUAAUUUUUUAUAAUUAAUAUGACAUGUUUUUAUCAGUGCGGGAAUAGUAAUGAGCAGUUACCGAGCAAAGCAACAACGCCCGGGGUGUCAAUACCCAUGGCACCAAACUUGUGAAGAACAGAGGAAAUGGACUCAUUGUGGUCAGGGAGGUACUGUUCCACUACUUCAGCUCUGCUCCUUCUACCAUCCCUUCUUCCUGUUUUUAGAGCUAUAUGUGGACCUCCUAGCUGCAAGAAACAAACAUACCAAGUUAACAACACUCUUCAUUAACUAUAAUCUUAAGAUGGAUAAGGGAAUUACCGAAACAAUGCCAUCUCUGGCAGAAAGAACAAGGAUAUCAGCACAGGAAACAACUCCAGGGCACUCCCUUUCCACGGCUUCUUUAAUGGUCUCAAUGUACCUAAAGUUCCUCAGCCCAAAGCUCCUAUCAGUUUCCUUCUCAGACAAGCUCCUUCUUGUUGAAUCCAGCAACAGUGAAGCAUCACAUCUCUAACCUCAUCAAAAACAUUCUAGUAAUUAGUUAAAGGGACAGUAUAGCAAAUACUAAAAACUAAUGGAAGUCAAGG
This 2554-nucleotide long non-coding RNA is filed under the name Lupinus angustifolius (narrow-leaved blue lupine). RNAcentral's name for it is "long non-coding RNA (LANG_LNC002042)". Lineage: Eukaryota; Viridiplantae; Streptophyta; Magnoliopsida; Fabales; Fabaceae. The record is from RNAcentral.